UACGUAGGGUGCAAGCGUUGUCCGGAAUUAUUGGGCGUAAAGAGCUCGUAGGCGGCUUGUCGCGUCGUCCGUGAAAACCCGCGGCUCAACCGCGGGCCUGCAGCCGAUACGGGCAGGCUAGAGUUCGGUAGGGGAGACUGGAAUUCCUGGUGUAGAGGUGAAAUUCGUAGAUAUUGGGAAGAACACCGGUGGCGAAGGCGGCGCUCUGGACCGAGACUGACGCUGAGGCGCGAAAGCGUGGGGAGCAAACAGG
RNAcentral lists this ribosomal RNA (253 nucleotides) under uncultured bacterium. Its description in RNAcentral is "partial 16S ribosomal RNA". It matches the Rfam family "Bacterial small subunit ribosomal RNA", at positions 524 to 776 of the family's 1533-position model. The record is from RNAcentral.